GAUUGAAGAACGCAGCGAAAUGCGAUAAGUAAUGUGAAUUGCAGAAUUCAGUGAAUCAUCGAAUCUUUGAACGCACAUUGCGCCCGCCAGUAUUCUGGCGGGCAUGCCUGUUCGAGCGUCAUUUCAACCAUCAAGCCCCCGGGCUUGUGUUGGGGACCUGCGGCUGCCGCAGGCCCUGAAAAGCAGUGGCGGGCUCGCUGUCACACCGAGCGUAGUAGAUUUUAUCUCGCUCUGGGCGUGCUGCGGGUUCCGGCCGUUAAACCACCCUUUUAACCCAAGGUUGACCUCGGAUCAGGUAGGAAGACCCGCUGAACUUAAGCAUAUCAAUAAGCGGAGGA
RNAcentral lists this unclassified non-coding RNA (338 nucleotides) under soil metagenome. Its description in RNAcentral is "partial contains 5.8S ribosomal RNA, internal transcribed spacer 2, and large subunit ribosomal RNA". The stretch from base 4 to 121 matches the Rfam family "5.8S ribosomal RNA", at positions 37 to 154 of the family's 154-position model. The record is from RNAcentral.